This 235-nucleotide ribosomal RNA is filed under the name uncultured bacterium. RNAcentral describes it as "partial 16S ribosomal RNA". It matches the Rfam family "Bacterial small subunit ribosomal RNA", at positions 99 to 334 of the family's 1533-position model. The record is from RNAcentral.
CGGACGGGUGAGUAACGCGUGGGUAACCUACCCUGUACACACGGAUAACAUACCGAGAGGUAUGCUAAUACGGGAUAAUAUAUUUGAGAGGCAUCUCUUGAAUAUCAAAGGUGAGCCAGUACAGGAUGGACCCGCGUCUGAUUAGCUAGUUGGUAAGGUAACGGCUUACCAAGGCGACGAUCAGUAGCCGACCUGAGAGGGUGAUCGGCCACAUUGGAACUGAGACACGGUCCAA